RNAcentral lists this long non-coding RNA (5631 nucleotides) under Anneissia japonica. Its description in RNAcentral is "uncharacterized LOC117105389". The record is from RNAcentral. Lineage: Eukaryota; Metazoa; Echinodermata; Crinoidea; Comatulida; Comatulidae.
UUGCCAUUUGGAGCUUACACAAGCUUGGAAAUUUAGCUGAUGCUAAUUCCUCCUUUGCAACAUAAUAGGCAGUGCGGAACAGUUUCUGGAGAACUUCAAAAUUUUCCGCAUUCAUCUUUGUAAUAGCCUUACACAUUGGUGUAUCUUUUGGGUUUUCCUUUGCCCGUUUGACUUGCACGCACAUUGAGUGUGACUUGGAUUUGUCAUGAGUUUGGAUAGACUUCUUUCAGAAACUUUCGCAUCCCAAGUAAAACGAACUUUGCGUGUUUGCUUUGUCUGGGCAGUCUUUACACACACGGCAGUACAUAAGUCCCAGUGCACUAUCAUGUCAUCAUAAUAAUUUUCAAGGUUAUAUUUUAUGUCGGGCUCUUCGCUUUACAUUAAUAUGCCAUUAUAUUGAGUCAAAUCUACAACAUCACAAUUAAAAUAAUUUAUGCUAAAAUAGGUUAGGCCUAUUGGGAAUUAACAAGGAAGGUUAUCACCAAAUUUAAUCCGCUACAGCGUUACAAAGAAAUGAGAAAAGAAAAAUGAAAAUAACUAAUAACUAAUGAUAUAAUUGUAAAAAAAAAAAUUAAAAAAAAUAAUCGUUUUAAAUAUACUAGUAAAGGUAAUUUUAUCUGUCUUGCCAUGAAUGAUAUCGCCUUCUGUGGGACGUUGCCUCAGCCUCACUGCGAAAGGCAAAGGCAGGGCAUAUGGAACACUUUCCAGCAACUGAUGGCAUUGACACAUCAAGUGUAUCCCACGAAUCUAAUUUGAGGAUUUCAUGAAUUGUAUGAAAACUAGAGAUAUCUUUUGCAUUGGUGAUAGAAGCCUUCCCCUAUUAAAACAGAAAUUUAUAAAUUCAUUGGCACGAAUUGGAUUUUCUGAACAGUGGGUACAAUAUGUGUCUUUGCAUUUUGUAAAUCUACGUGUUGUAACAUGAAUUGAACCUCAUCUUUAAAGGUACAGGUAAACCUUACCACUGUUUGCAGUCAUUACAUUGUACACCGCAUCGUAGUCGUUGUACGGUUGUUCUUCAAUUGGAACGCCUGCGAAUUCAACAUUUUGGAGGUAUGUUCCUAGUGUCUCCAUUGCUUGGUCGAAUACCUGUCCUUCUUUUUGAUGUUUUUCCUCCGGUGUCAGUUGUUGUUUCCAUGGUGGUACAGUAGAUUUUCCCCGUUCAAGAUAUCGGGAAGGGACACUGAUGACAGGCGGUUCGUACACGGAGGCCACGCAUGCUCUAUGGGGUUGCAUGCCGAUUGCCCUGGUGCGUCCAACAUACUGUCCUUGCGUGUUAAUCUUCUUGUUGGUUUUUUCCUACACACGUCUCAUUGCUGACACACGUGCGUAGUCCGCCAAGCCAUGGAGAAUAGUGGAACCAGUAAAACGCUACAUAUGUAUUUUAGAGCAGGUCAGAGGUUGCUUUUUAUAUUUUUAAUGUAAGAUUUUAUUGUACGAUUUUAUUAGUUAAAGUAAUACGGGGUCCAGACUUUUGUCAUGACAAGUUACUUUUGCUCUGUCCCAGUACAUUGUUGCUGCAACAUCAUGACACUGGGUGAUUUUAUGGUAACAACAGGAGUGAGGUUCUGAGGUUACCUAUGCUUCGCGCGAACUUAAAAUGAAUUAUUAGGCCAACGUUUAAGGAUCGUUCACACCAAGCACGAAUUCAGACUGUUAUGAUAAACGCGUGCACAAUGGAUUAUUUUUAUUACAGUGCGUAAAUUUGGUGCACUGGACCGAAUUCGUACUUGGUUUAUACGACGCUUUAAGAUGGAAACAAACAAAUAUUAGGCCUACCUAAUUUCACUUUGUUUUUGUUGUCAACAGAAAUUACAUUGCAGGCAUCAGGAAAACCUGCACAGAGUUGAACACAGUAUUUCACUCUAGCAUUAUAAAAAUGUGCGUUCACGUGGUCCUUCUUACGACUUAUCUUUGCGAGGUACAUUUGCAUCAAUAUAGCCUUUAUAUCGCUUCGAUACAAAUGUGUUGCGUAGUCGGUGUACAGGAAUUUCGACGUCUAUGAAUUAUGAAUUAUUAUUUUGCAAACUCAGUUGCAAAAGACCGUUCCACAGCUCAGCAAAUUGUAGAACAACUUAAAUUUGAUUUGAAUAACUGCAAGAAGAAUGCUUUCUCUCUGAACAGCUUCUCCGCUAUAUGGAAUGUUAUGUGAAGUCUGUUACCACGAUAUCUAGGUAAAAAACCUUUUUUAUAGCCUCCCUCUUCCAAAGCGUUUCUAAAGCCUCUUGGGUCACCCUUUCCCAUCUGCAUACCUCAUUUUACUGAUGUUGUAAACGAGUCGCUGGGCAAUGCAGCCAUGGCUAUACAAAUCCUUCUGCUGGUUGUUAGUUUCUUUUUCCAGUCCUGUCAAUAAUGAGCUACAGUCUUUGGCUAUGGUUUCUAGUGGGUGGAGAUGGCAAUUUAAUUCUGUAACUGUGGUGUUCCACUUUUGUUCUACUAAUGCUAUAGAUCGUUUGCAAGUGACGUCACAUAUUCCGUGUCGGCCAUUAGUGAGGCUAUGCAACACGACGCCACAAGAUGGCAACCGAUGGUAGAAUAGCGUUUUCGCAGUAUUACCAGGAACUUCCUACAGAUUGCAAAGCCAAAUAUUUAGAAAAGGCGUUAGAAUGUGGGAAUAUAGACCCAUUUAGUUAUUCUAUAAAGUUUCUAGAUGACAUUUUCUUGUGGCCAUCGGUCACAUAUCCCGAUAUAGUAAAUUAUUUGGUGUUUUCAACAAGCUUUGUCACAGGCCGUCAGAUGAAGGCAUACAAAUUCAUGGAGAGUUACAAUUAUUUCUUAUCCGGUUGGGUAAGAAAUAUUGGCGUUAUGAAGGUGGAGAGAGAAGGAAAAGUGUUAUAUGCAAGGGUAAGUCUGCACUGUAAUAACAAAAUGCCGUAUCAUAUUCGAUCCUAGACUUACUGUAGGGCCUAGGCCUAGAAAAUAGGCAAUAGGCUACUAACUACUAAGUACUAGGCCUAGCCUAGGCUAGCCCUAGGUCAACAUAAAUGGGCCACAGUGUGUCGUCACUGACAUUAGUCACUAUUGAGAAGUAGAGUAAGGGCUGGUAAAUAUUUUUGUUUUGCCAAUUCGUAAUUCAUAUUAUUUUAGGCCAAUAAUUGCUUUUCUUUGAAUAGAAGGUAACCACUCCCAGAGGAUGAAUGAAACUCCAUUAAAAACCUGGGUUCUCCUUGAGGCUAAUAGUGAAGUAGUGACUGGUCACUGUGACUGUAUGGCAGGAUUAAGUGAGGUUUGCAGCCACAUUGGAGCAGUGCUGUUUGCAGUUGAAGCAGGAACCCGGAUGAGGGACCAGCAAACCUGUACAGAAAAAAGCUGCCAGUGGGUUUUGCCCACUAGUUUAAAGCAGGUACCAUAUGUUGAGGUACGUCAAAAAGACUUCACAUCUGCCAAAAAAAAAAAAAAAAUUCUUGAUAACUUAACAUCACCAACUGCACUAAGACGUUUGAAUGCCCACACUCAGGUGCUGGACUGCAGGCCAACAGAAGAAGAAAAAUUAAAUUUAAUGAGACAGGUAAGCGAAAGUGGAAACAAAUCUGCAAUCCUUUCAAUACUGCCUGGGUUUUGUGAGGAGUUUGUGCCAGCACAAAAGUUGCCUUUCAAUUUAACAUCAUUGUUUGACAUUGAGGCCCUUGAGCUCCAGUUCAACGAUCUUCUGUUGAAAUUGUAGAGAGAUUGAAACGUCUAUAAUACUUACUGAGGAAAUGGUACAUAAUGUGGAAAAACAAACCAAGGAGCAAGCAAAUUCAAAGGAAUGGUUUAAGUACAGAUCUGGUCGGAUAACCGCAUCCAGAAUGAAGGCAGUAUGCCAUACAGAUGUGGCUAAACCAUCGGUUAGCCUCAUUAAUGCUAUUUGCUACCCAGACAAGUUGCAGUUUUCAAAUGCAGCCACCAAAUGGGGAUGCAACCAUGAAAAGACAGCGCAGAUGCUAUAUUUCGAGAUCCAGAAAUGUAACCAUGAAGACUUGGUGGAGAUAGUGGACUCUGUUUGAAUGUGGACUAUGCAUAUAUGGGUGCCUCUCCUGAUGGGGUUGUCAAUUGUAAAUGUUGUGGAAGUGGAGUCUGUGAAAUCAAGUGCCCUUUUUGCUUUAAAGAUGAAACAAUUGAAGACACUGCUGCCAGUAAAAAAUCAUGUCUUCAACAGACUGAGAAUGAGAUCCAGCUGGACAGGAAACAUGCGUAUUAUUAUCAGGUCCAGUGUCAAAUUCUGAUCUGUAAAGUGAAAUAUUGUGAUUUUGUGUUGUAUACAAGGAGGGAAUACAAUUGAAAGGAUUUAUCCUGAUGCAGAAUUCUUACAACAAAUGAUAGGCAAAGCAAAGCAUUUCUUCCAAGUUGCUGUUCUCCCUCAACUGAUAGGCAACUGGAAUAGGUAUUGAGAGUACCUGUACGGGAUGAGAAUGUGCAUCUAUUUUGUUAUUGCAAGCAGGAAGACAAUGGUAUGUUGACAGUUAGCUGCAAGAACAGCGAAUGUGCAUGGCAACGUUUCCACCUGGACUGCCUAGGACUUAAAAGGGUCCAAAAUCUGUAAACUGGCUGUGCCCAACAUGCCGUAAAAUCCCUCAUCUGAAGAACCAGAAAAGAACAGUGCGCAAGACAGCGGUACUCAAAGAAGCUAAUGUUUAGUGCCUUUUUACAAGUGUACACAAAGACAUACUGACGGCUGCCAUAUUCAGUUAAAAUGUGCAUUACUGUAAAUGAGUAGGCCGACUAGCAAAAUACAUUUUACUGAAUUUAUAAAUUCCAUGUAUCAUUAAAGAUGGAAAAAUUUAUUUUUAUUAUUAUACUUGUAUGGUUUUCACUAUGUUUUAGGUUUGUGCAAUUUUUUAUCAUUUUAAAUUGGACAUACUAUUCAGUUAAGUGCAACGGACUAACAGAAUUUAAUUUAUUAACUCGUACUUUUAUGGUUUUCAAUAUUUAAUAUAUUUUUGCAAUUUUUCAUCAGGUGCUUUUCUCCCCAUUGUCAUUUUAAAGUGGACAGUUGCAGUUAGUAAUAAUAUGAGCAACGCUGUGUUUAAGACUAUAGAAUGUUUUUCUUUGUUAUUUAGCAGAAACUCAUCCCAUACUUGUAGGGUUUUCAAUAUGUAAUAAGUUUGCAAUUGUUGAUCAGGUGCUAAUUUCCUUAUUUGUGGCAAAAGCCAGCCAAACCAGUCACUCGUCGGAAAAAUAGAUUUUUAGUUAUUAAUAGAGUGUCAAACAGCAAAUUUAGAGUUAUAAAAUGGUAAAAAAUUAUUUCGUUAUCCCCUAACAUGGUUUGCAACAAGUGACUAGUUUGGCUUGUCUUUGCCACAAUUACAUACUUAAGGUGAUCUUACUAUGCACACUCAAGGAAGUGCUUUUGCUGUUAUCAGUUAACCCUUAAAAUACCAAAUUUCCCAGUGUGUACUACCACAGGAAACUGUAUUAUAUUUAGUACUAUCACUUGUUAUUACUGGUUUUGAAGGCUACUCUCUUCACAUGUGUUUUUUGACGGUUUCUGUAAAAUUUAUGAAAGAACAUUUCUAAAAACAUAUGUUCCUUAUACAUUUAGCUAUCUUUUGAUAUAUGAUUUGUAAAUUUUGGAGUUCAUUUUGUAUAUGAAAAGUAUAUAUAAAAAAUAUAAAGCUUGUAAAAUAAGUUUUUUAUAUCAAUUCUAUGUAUAAU